RNAcentral lists this ribosomal RNA (253 nucleotides) under uncultured bacterium. RNAcentral describes it as "partial 16S ribosomal RNA". It matches the Rfam family "Bacterial small subunit ribosomal RNA", at positions 524 to 776 of the family's 1533-position model. The record is from RNAcentral.
UACGAAGGGGGCUAGCGUUGCUCGGAAUUACUGGGCGUAAAGCGCGCGUAGGCGGGUCGUUAAGUCGGGGGUGAAAUCCUGGAGCUCAACUCCAGAACUGCCUUCGAUACUGGCGAUCUUGAGUCCGGGAGAGGUGAGUGGAACUCCGAGUGUAGAGGUGAAAUUCGUAGAUAUUCGGAAGAACACCAGUGGCGAAGGCGGCUCACUGGCCCGGUACUGACGCUGAGGUGCGAAAGCGUGGGGAGCAGACAGG